ACCUUCCACGUUCCUCCUGCUCUGUAGAGUCCCUUCUAAGCCACAAAGCCCUGUCCCCUCGGGCAGGAGGCAGGUGCAUAGCACUAUGCACAACAAAGGGAAGGUACUUGGGGCAGUCUGGCUCUCCACUGGGCUCCCAAGCAUUUGCUGCUUUGGAUGACACUCAUACAACCGGCAUUCCCACCAUAUUUUCUUGCAGACCUGCUAGAGGGUCAUGAAUUCAGCUGUAAUUCAACAAGAAGUUCUGCCAAUGGUGAGACAGAAUCAGUCCAACAGUGAAACACGAAGAUGAACAGAAGGCUUUUACCUGUUGCAAAGGACAUCUGUGAAUCAGAGAUAAAAUGGGAUAACUCAAGAGGGCCUUGCCUUUCUUCUCAACACAAGAAAAAGAGGUACCAACUUGUUGCCUGAAGCUAAGCUCUAACUUGUUUCUUUCCCUGGAUUCCCAUUUCCCUUCUGAGGUAGCUCAUCCAAGUGCCUCUCAUUUCAAUACGUUGGGACUGGCAGUACCCUGGGACUGGCAGGCUCUUCCUUGGAACUCUCAGUCAUCCCUCUAAAGACCAUGAUCUUGAGACCCUGGGGCCUUGCUAUACACUCAGACUGCACACACAGCGAAGGAGAAUAUAUAGCAGAUGCAAAGUGAGAAAUCCUUCCUCUUUACAUGCUGGACUCGGGUGUGGCUGUGCUGGAUCAACAGCAGAACUCAGAACUCCCU
Molecule: long non-coding RNA, 715 nt
Organism: Empidonax traillii (willow flycatcher)
Lineage: Eukaryota; Metazoa; Chordata; Aves; Passeriformes; Tyrannidae
Exons: 4
Source: RefSeq, a predicted model, not a curated record